Molecule: non-coding RNA, 576 nt
Organism: Manis javanica (Malayan pangolin)
Lineage: Eukaryota; Metazoa; Chordata; Mammalia; Pholidota; Manidae
Source: RefSeq, a predicted model, not a curated record
CAACAUCAGAGAGAUUGGAUGUGAUCAGAACAAAUGGACUUUCUUGCCAUGUAAUGGAUUUAUUGUGUCAGAUGUACAAGUGCUUUUCCCUGAACCAGGAGACAAGGACUUCUGGCUGGCAACGGAAAGAGUGGUCCAGGAAUAUUUCUUCACUAUGAGAGCCAUGACCCCAACAUUGAGUCGGGCAGCUGAAUUCCUCCACAGAAUUGUAUGAUCUGUACCAACCAAGGAGAGCGGCCACCAGAAGGCUCUCCCCGUGUGCUCUGACCUGUGCUCUUGGCAGGCCUUCCCACCCUCUCCCUGCCCCCCUACAGUAUCAGUAAUUAUGUGAAACAUAGACAGACUGUAGUGGGUUGAAGGCCUAACCCGCAGGACCUGCAAAUGCAACAUCAUUUGGAAACAGGGUCUUCACAGAUGCAAUCAAGUUAAGGUGAAAUCUAAGAAAAGAAAUCCCAAGAGUUCCCAUGGCAAAGAAAAAAUCUUUCUUCCUUUUCAUUUUUCCUUUGUUGUCUAUAUGAGAUUAUGCUGUUAACUUAUUGUGGUAAUCUUUUCACAGUUUAUGUACAUCGAGCCAUU